This 413-nucleotide ribosomal RNA is filed under the name uncultured microorganism. RNAcentral's name for it is "bacterial SSU rRNA". It matches the Rfam family "Archaeal small subunit ribosomal RNA", at positions 330 to 745 of the family's 1478-position model. The record is from RNAcentral.
GCGCAGCAGGCGAGAAACUUCGCAAUGCGCGAAAGCGCGACGAGGGGAUUCCAAGUGCAUGCACUAAGUGUAUGCUUUUCGUGAGUUUAAAACGCUCACGGAAUAAGGGCUGGGUAAGACUGGCGCCAGCCGCCGCGGUAAUACCAGCGGCCCUAGUGGUGAUCGUUAUUAUUGGGCCUAAAGCGUCCGUAGCCGGUCCGGUAAAUCUCUGGGUAAAUCGUUGGGCUUAACUCAGCGAAUUCUGGGGAGACUGCUGGACUUGGGACCGGGAGAGGUCGGAGGUACUCCAGGGGUAGGGGUGGAAAUCCUGUAAUCCUUGGGGGACCACCGGUGGCGAAGGCGUCCGACCAGAACGGGUCCGACGGUAAGGGACGAAGCCCUGGGGCGCGAACCGGAUUAGAUACCCGGGUAGU